Molecule: ribosomal RNA, 459 nt
Filed under: uncultured bacterium
Lineage: Bacteria
Description: SSU rRNA
Rfam family: Bacterial small subunit ribosomal RNA
Source: RNAcentral
AGAACGAACGCUGGCGGCAUGCCUAACACAUGCAAGUCGAACGAGACCCCUGAUUUCGGUUGGCGGGUCUAGUGGCGCACGGGUGCGUAACGCGUGGGAACCUGCCCCUUGGUUCGGAAUAACACAGAGAAAUUUGUGCUAAUACCGGAUGAUGACUUCGGUCCAAAGAUUUAUCGCCGAGGGAUGGGCCCGCGUAGGAUUAGCUUGUUGGUGGGGUAAUGGCCUACCAAGGCGACGAUCCUUAGCUGGUCUGAGAGGAUGAUCAGCCACACUGGGACUGAGACACGGCCCAGACUCCUACGGGAGGCAGCAGUGGGGAAUAUUGGACAAUGGGCGAAAGCCUGAUCCAGCAAUGCCGCGUGAGUGAUGAAGGCCUUAGGGUUGUAAAGCUCUUUUACCAGGGAUGAUAAUGACAGUACCUGGAGAAUAAGCUCCGGCUAACUCCGCGCCAGCAGCCGC